This 253-nucleotide ribosomal RNA is filed under the name uncultured bacterium. Its description in RNAcentral is "partial 16S ribosomal RNA". It matches the Rfam family "Bacterial small subunit ribosomal RNA", at positions 524 to 776 of the family's 1533-position model. The record is from RNAcentral.
CACGUAGGGCGCAAGUGUUGUCCGGAAUUAUUGGGCGUAAAGAGCUCGUAGGCGGUCUGUUGCGUCCGCUGUGAAAACUCGGGGCUUAACCCCGAGCCUGCAGUGGAUACGGGCAGACUAGAGGUAGGUAGGGGAGAAUGGAAUUCAUGGUGUAGCAGUGAAAUGCGUAGAGAUCACGAGGAAGACCAGUGGCGAAGGCGGGUCUCUGGACAGUUCCUGACACUGAGACACGAAGGCCAGGGGAGCAAACGGG